RNAcentral lists this ribosomal RNA (430 nucleotides) under Acidobacteriota bacterium. RNAcentral's name for it is "Acidobacteria bacterium partial 16S ribosomal RNA". It matches the Rfam family "Bacterial small subunit ribosomal RNA", at positions 355 to 776 of the family's 1533-position model. The record is from RNAcentral. Lineage: Bacteria; Pseudomonadati; Acidobacteriota.
UGGGGAAUAUUGGACAAUGGGGGGAACCCUGAUCCAGCCAUGCCGCGUGUGUGAAGAAGGCCUUUUGGUUGUAAAGCACUUUAAGCGAGGAGGAGGCUACCGAGAUUAAUACUCUUGGAUAGUGGACGUUACUCGCAGAAUAAGCACCGGCUAACUCUGUGCCAGCAGCCGCGGUAAUACAGAGGGUGCAAGCGUUAAUCGGAUUUACUGGGCGUAUAGCGCGCGUAGGUGGCCAAUUAAGUCAAAUGUGAAAUCCCCGAGCUUAACUUGGGAAUUGCAUUCGAUACUGGUUGGCUAGAGUAUGGGAGAGGAUGGUAGAAUUCCAGGUGUAGCGGUGAAAUGCGUAGAGAUCUGGAGGAAUACCGAUGGCGAAGGCAGCCAUCUGGCCUAAUACUGACACUGAGGUGCGAAAGCAUGGGGAGCAAACAGG